AUGCAUCUAUUGACAGACCUGAAGUUCAACACUUAAACUUUUUGGGUUUAUUCAUUGAGAGGCAAGAUCAAAUUUCCAAGCACUUUCUGCCUGCUCCAUUUGUGGCAGCUCAGAUUGAUUAGGGAAUACAUGU
Molecule: small nucleolar RNA, 133 nt
Organism: Carcharodon carcharias (great white shark)
Lineage: Eukaryota; Metazoa; Chordata; Chondrichthyes; Lamniformes; Lamnidae
Product: small nucleolar RNA SNORA31
Exons: 1
Source: RefSeq, a predicted model, not a curated record